RNAcentral lists this ribosomal RNA (254 nucleotides) under uncultured bacterium. RNAcentral describes it as "partial 16S ribosomal RNA". It matches the Rfam family "Bacterial small subunit ribosomal RNA", at positions 524 to 776 of the family's 1533-position model. The record is from RNAcentral.
UACGAAGGGGGGCUAGCGUUGUUCGGAAUUACUGGGCGUAAAGGGCGCGUAGGCGGUGUGUCAAGUCAGGCGUGAAAGCCCCGGGCUCAACCUGGGAACCGCGCUUGAGACUGGCACGCUCGAGUUCGGGAGAGGAUGGUGGAAUUCCCAGUGUAGAGGUGAAAUUCGUAGAUAUUGGGAAGAACACCGAUGGCGAAGGCAGCCAUCUGGACCGACACUGACGCUGAGGCGCGAAAGCGUGGGGAGCAAACAGG